This 477-nucleotide ribosomal RNA is filed under the name uncultured bacterium. Its description in RNAcentral is "partial 16S ribosomal RNA". It matches the Rfam family "Bacterial small subunit ribosomal RNA", at positions 28 to 523 of the family's 1533-position model. The record is from RNAcentral.
GACGAACGCUGGCGGCGUGCUUAACACAUGCAAGUCGAACGGUAAGGCCCUUCGGGGUACACGAGUGGCGAACGGGUGAGUAACACGUGGGUGAUCUGCCCUGCACUUCGGGAUAAGCCUGGGAAACUGGGUCUAAUACCGGAUAGGACUCCGGACUGCAUGGUCUGGGGUGGAAAGCUUUUGGGGUGUGGGAUGGCCCGCGGGCUAUCAGCUUGUUGGUGGGGGGAUGGCCUACCAAGGCGACGACGGGUAGCCGGCCUGAGAGGGUGACCGGCCACACUGGGACUGAGAUACGGCCCAGACUCCUACGGGAGGCAGCAGUGGGGAAUAUUGCACAAUGGGCGCAAGCCUGAUGCAGCGACGCCGCGUGAGGGAUGACGGCCUUCGGGUUGUAAACCUCUUUCAGCAUCGACGAAGCGAAAGUGACGGUAGGUGCAGAAGAAGGACCGGCCAACUACGUGCCAGCAGCCGCCGUAA